GGGGUUUGGGGGGUUUGGGGAGGGUUGGGGGCGGGGUCGGCUAAGGCUGGAGGCGCUGGCAGCGGCUGCGUGGAGGCCUCAUGUGGAAAGAGAUGAGUGUGUGGGAGGGAGGAAAUUGAUUUGCUGGGAUACACAAUCUCCCCCUCGCUCCAGGAGGAGGCGUUUGUUGCAUAAAUAUGUGUCCAUCACUCAAAGAGUGUCAGAGCUCCUCAUGACUUUAGCCCCCCUCCUCAUGUGUUGUGUAACCUUUCCUCAGGAAAGAGAGUUUGAUGCAUUUGGUUAACAAAGUACCAUUUUCCUCCUCUGUUGAGAUGCACGAGAAAACAACCCCAGAGUGUCAAGACUGUGAAUAUUCUCCUAACUUAUUUGAUAUGGCAUGACCCCUUUUAAACUGCUUGAUGAAAUUGUCUAUUGAGGUAUGUAAAUGAAUAACAGUGAGGCCAUGAAAGCAGAGCGUUUCCACUAAAUGUCAGCUGAGAGCAGAAGCAGCCUUCGGUUGUGUGUUCGCCCACGCUCUCUGUGUUUCUGAUUUCCAUAAAAGUCCUGAGUGAUGGAGGAUUAUUCUUGCAAUAAGACUCAAACUGGUCAGGGCCUCGUUUCCCUGAAGCGCCAGGACGAAACAUGUUUAACUCUUUCAGGGAAGCCAGCCCAGACCAAAACCCAGCUCUGUUCUCAAACAGGAGGGGGGCACACUUUCAGCUCGGGGCCCGAGUUAGUUUCAGACUGUAGACUUUGUAGAAGAAGAGGACUCAGCCAGAGAGAUGCCGAGAACUGUUUUCUAGGUUUAGAGUCUUUGGCCAUCACAGUUUGAGCCGUUAAAGCCAGAGGGGAUUGUGUCUUGAUGAGGGGCUCAGUAUCUUGGUUAUAAACUCAAGCUCCUUCAGAGUCCGGUCUAUAAUCUACAGAGAUUAAGACAGGAAUCAAGAUGCUCAUUUAAUGAUAAACAGCUUUAAACAAAAGCUCUCCUCAGUUCCCAGGAUGUUUAAAAAAAAAAAAAAAAAAAAAAAGGAAUUACACCAAAUGACACAUUUUUUCAUGUGUCUGUGAUUAUAACUUACAGUGCAAGGUAUCUCCUGUCCAAAUCCAACCGGUCUUUGAGUCUCUUUGACUCAGGUCAGACUGCUCCAUCACUUUAUAAGCUUCACCAGGACCAAGGAUCAGGGUCAUGAAAAAGAAUUGAAAAAAGAUGCAGUAAACUGUCAAAAAUUUUGAGAAAUGAACAUUAAAAAACAAUAAAAUUUACCUGUAAAUUUUUUUUUAAUAAAGUUGUGGUACAACAACAAAAAAAGGAGGCCAUAGUGAAGUUGCAAUAUCAUAGAACAAAGUCCUGGUAUUUUGGUUCCUGGGGUCAAAAGUCCCACCAUUUUUUGAUGGAAGUGUAGCUUUAGUAAGAAAAUAAAUUAGUAUCAUGAGUUUAAAAAACAGUUGUAAUUUUUUUUGCAGAAGUAGUAAUUUCAGGCCGGGGUUAAUCUUUGUUGGCAUGAAUGCAGACAGGCUCCUGUUAACUCACCUGUCUUUAUUACAGACUUUAUUUCCUGUUUGAAACCCUGAUUAUUUUAGAUGGCCCCCUAACCAGAGUGUAAAAUCAGGACUUUUAUCCCCGUAAACAAAGAACUUUACUGUGACAAUAUUACAGCAGUGCUCUGCCUUUUCACUCUGUCUAAUACUAUGACUUUAAUCUGGGAAUACUUGACUUGAUUUUUUAAAACGUGUACUUUAAAAAACCUUGAUUUUUACGUUCUUAAUAUGGUCCUGAUUCUCCGUCAUAUUUUCCUGUCUUGUUUGUUUAUGUGAAUUUCACUCCGUUCUGAUUGGUCGACAAAAGAAAAACCAAACAUGCCAGACUCUCUGUCAGGAGGUCACAAAGUGUUUUUGAUGGUCAUUCACUGUGACCCACAACACCCGAUAAAUCCUUCGAUUAUCAGAGCGAACGGGUCCUGAAACACUAAAUCGUCACUCUUUUUUCGUCUUGAUUUAAAAACCAGUCGCCCCCUGCUGGCCUGUGAUUAAAUGCAGUAUUGACCCCCUUCAUUGGCUCUUCUUUUGGUGCACAGAGCUUAAGUCCUCUUCUUGUAGACUGUCUACAGUGCAGACAGAAAUCUGAGGUAAACGUUCAGCUGAGCGGCACUUUUCAUGGAACCAAAUGACCCCCCCAGGCCCCGCCCCUUCCCUCACCCAUGGCCCGCCCACUCUGCCCCCCUCCCUCCUUCCCUCCCCCUGCUGUAGUUAAAGCUGUGUGGUCUUAUCAUGUGUGCCUUUCUCACUCCACGCAUUUCAAGAUAGCGUAUGUUUACACAAACCUGCAGACCUGCUUCAGACACUGUCCAGACUCCUGACCCGGAUCUCUACUAAUACUGUCACUGAGGGGGGAGGGGGGGUUAUAGAAGGGUGUACGGGGGCGUGAUGGGGGUGCUAUGUACAGGGGGGUACGCUAAAUGUGUCUUUUACAUGCAGAUAUAGAGAGGUUAUUCUGUGGGGAAGGAACUGAACACAGAAACUGUGAUCUCAUUCAGGUACUAACUGCUCGGACAGUUUCAGUGAAGAUCUGAGGAGCUCCACCGUCUCAUCCUAGAUUAUUAUAAUAAUAAUAAUAAUAAUAAUGAUAAUAAUAAUAAUAAUGCAUCAGUGUGCAGGGCAUUAUUUUCAAACCAGUGGAAGUCUCUGUACAUAUUUGUAUUAAGAAGAAACAGUGUUAUUGAUGUUGUAUUGAAGUUGAAAAUGGAAAAAAAAACUAAAAAAAAAAAAGUUUGUGACAAAGAAAAAACUCUCCACAGCCAAGGGUUGUCCUGCUAGCACAUUUUUACAGAGAUGAGCUAUUUUUACUGCUGAUUUUCUAGGCGUUGAUAUUGAUAUCCUUUUAAAAAACUUCCAAAAUAACAAGCACUUCUUCCACAACCAUAGAUUGUAAGGUCCUUUUUGUUACUUUUGUAGACGUGGUGGUUCCUUUGCUACUGCAGCGUUUUGUAAAGUGGGACAGGCCUUGGCUGUGCAUCCUCGGGGUCUCAUGUUUGGCUGUUUUUUUAGUUCUGGUUUUUUCGGGGAGGUAAACACUGUAGAUGGGCCGACUUUGUGACUGUGUGUUUGUGUACUUGUGUACAUGUUCCCCUGUUCCUGUGUCAGUGUUAAACAGCAGAGAAGUGAUGUCAGUUAUCGUGGGGGUUUGAACCAUUUUAAAUGUUCUCUAUGAAAAACACCAAUAAAGAUUCAUAGACAAGAA
RNAcentral lists this long non-coding RNA (3217 nucleotides) under Xyrichtys novacula (pearly razorfish). The record is from RNAcentral. Lineage: Eukaryota; Metazoa; Chordata; Actinopteri; Labriformes; Labridae.